GACGAACGCUGGCGGCGUGCUUAACACAUGCAAGUCGAACGGAAAGGCCCUGCUUUUGUGGGGUGCUCGAGUGGCGAACGGGUGAGUAACACGUGAGUAACCUGCCCUUGACUUUGGGAUAACUUCGGGAAACUGGGGCUAAUACCGGAUAGGAGCUCCUGCUGCAUGGUGGGGGUUGGAAAGUUUCGGCGGUUGGGGAUGGACUCGCGGCUUAUCAGCUUGUUGGUGGGGUAGUGGCUUACCAAGGCUUUGACGGGUAGCCGGCCUGAGAGGGUGACCGGCCACAUUGGGACUGAGAUACGGCCCAGACUCCUACGGGAGGCAGCAGUGGGGAAUAUUGCACAAUGAGCGGAAGCCUGAUGCAGCAACGCCGCGUGCGGGAUGACGGCCUUCGGGUUGUAAACCGCUUUCGCCUGUGACGAAGCGUGAGUGACGGUAAUGGGUAAAGAAGCACCGGCUAACUACGUG
RNAcentral lists this ribosomal RNA (468 nucleotides) under uncultured bacterium. Its description in RNAcentral is "partial 16S ribosomal RNA". It matches the Rfam family "Bacterial small subunit ribosomal RNA", at positions 28 to 507 of the family's 1533-position model. The record is from RNAcentral.